This 503-nucleotide ribosomal RNA is filed under the name uncultured bacterium. RNAcentral describes it as "bacterial SSU rRNA". It matches the Rfam family "Bacterial small subunit ribosomal RNA", at positions 9 to 507 of the family's 1533-position model. The record is from RNAcentral.
GAGUUUGAUCGUGGCUCAGAUUGAACGCUGGCGGCAGGCCUAACACAUGCAAGUCGAGCGGUAGAGAGAAGCUUGCUUCUCUUGAGAGCGGCGGACGGGUGAGUAAUGCCUAGGAAUCUGCCUGGUAGUGGGGGAUAACGCUCGGAAACGGACGCUAAUACCGCAUACGUCCUACGGGAGAAAGCAGGGGACCUUCGGGCCUUGCGCUAUCAGAUGAGCCUAGGUCGGAUUAGCUAGUUGGUGAGGUAAUGGCUCACCAAGGCGACGAUCCGUAACUGGUCUGAGAGGAUGAUCAGUCACACUGGAACUGAGACACGGUCCAGACUCCUACGGAGGCAGCAGUGGGGAAUAUUGGACAAUGGGCGAAAGCCUGAUCCAGCCAUGCCGCGUGUGUGAAGAAGGUCUUCGGAUUGUAAAGCACUUUAAGUUGGGAGGAAGGGCAGUAAAUUAAUACUUUGCUGUUUUGACGUUACCGACAGAAUAAGCACCGGCUAACUACUGUG